Molecule: ribosomal RNA, 429 nt
Filed under: Actinomycetes bacterium
Lineage: Bacteria; Bacillati; Actinomycetota; Actinomycetes
Description: Actinobacteria bacterium partial 16S ribosomal RNA
Rfam family: Bacterial small subunit ribosomal RNA
Source: RNAcentral
UAGGGAAUCUUCCGCAAUGGGCGAAAGCCUGACGGAGCAACGCCGCGUGAGUGAUGAAGGUCUUCGGAUCGUAAAACUCUGUUAUUAGGGAAGAACAAAUGUGUAAGUAACUAUGCACGUCUUGACGGUACCUAAUCAGAAAGCCACGGCUAACUACGUGCCAGCAGCCGCGGUAAUACGUAGGUGGCAAGCGUUAUCCGGAAUUAUUGGGCGUAAAGCGCGCGUAGGCGGUUUUUUAAGUCUGAUGUGAAAGCCCACGGCUCAACCGUGGAGGGUCAUUCGAAACUGGAAAACUUGAGUGCAGAAGAGGAAAGUGGAAUUCCAUGUGUAGCGGUGAAAUGCGCAGAGAUAUGGAGGAACACCAGUGGCGAAGGCGACUUUCUGGUCUGUAACUGACGCUGAUGUGCGAAAGCGUGGGGAUCAAACAGG